GUGCUUGCUUCAGUAGCACAUAUACUAAAAU
This 31-nucleotide small nuclear RNA is filed under the name Cervus elaphus hippelaphus. Lineage: Eukaryota; Metazoa; Chordata; Mammalia; Artiodactyla; Cervidae. The record is from RNAcentral.